This 399-nucleotide ribosomal RNA is filed under the name uncultured bacterium. Its description in RNAcentral is "bacterial SSU rRNA". It matches the Rfam family "Bacterial small subunit ribosomal RNA", at positions 355 to 771 of the family's 1533-position model. The record is from RNAcentral.
UAGGGAAUAUUGGUAAUGGGCGAAAGCCUGAACCAGCAACGCCGCGUGUGCGAUGAAGGCCUUCGGGUCGUAAAGCACUUUUUGAGGGAAUGAGAAAGGACAGUACCCUUAGAAUAAGUCUCGGCUAACUACGUGCCAGCAGCCGCGGUAAAACGUAGGAGACGAGCGUUAUUCGGAUUUACUGGGCGUAAAGCGCAUGCAGGUGGUAUGGCAAGUUGGAUGUGAAAGCUCCUGGCUUAACUAGGAGAGGUCAUUCAAAACUGCCAAACUUGAGAAUAGGAGAGGGAGGUGGAAUUCCGGGUGUAGUGGUGAAAUGCGUAGAUAUCCGGAGGAACACCAGUGGCGAAAGCGACCUCCUGGCCUAUUUCUGACACUCAGAUGCGAAAGCUAGGGUAGCAA